RNAcentral lists this ribosomal RNA (699 nucleotides) under Triticum aestivum (bread wheat). Its description in RNAcentral is "partial small subunit ribosomal RNA". The record is from RNAcentral. Lineage: Eukaryota; Viridiplantae; Streptophyta; Magnoliopsida; Poales; Poaceae.
AUGGAAGAAGGUCUCACUGUGUGGAGAGCUUGUCAGAUUAUUAACCAUGAGUGGCUAAGUGGCGACGUAAUUAAUGCAUACUCACCAUAUUUGGUCGACAAAGUUAAUGAUGAUCGUUUCAUGUUGACAACUUGGAGGAUACAUUGGUUGCUUCACAUUAGACCCGGAAAGAAGACCGCCGGUAACGAUUAUGAAGCAGAGUCGCAUAGUAAUGGACCCGUGAAUAGAUGUGAGGACGAGUAUUUCAAAAAAUCAAAGACUUAUAUUCCUCUAAACAAGGAAAAUACUCACUGGGUUACUGUUGUCAUGCAUAGCGGGAAGAGAGAGUUCCAGGUUCUUGACUCGUUGAUGACCGGAAAACUUGACAGUGUUACUAGAGAACUCGUUGAGGACCUGAGAAAACAACUAGCAGAAGAUAUCCAAGAAGCAAAUGCAACCGGAAUUGUGAAUUAUCCGGAUGUUUCCAAUUGGCCUAUUCAAACGUAUGACAUGCCAAAACAACAUGAUGGGAAUUCGUGUGGAAUAUUUCUCCUUCGAUGCUUUCAAUAUUGGGAUGGUGACAAAUGGACAGGCUUAUUUUCACAGAGGUCAAUUGAUGAUUCGAGAGAGGUAACGAUAGCGCAACUUAUCUUUUCGGAAAGAAACAAGCUUGAUGAAGUGAAAAACAAAGUUAUUCGGAUAUCAAAGAAGAAGAAAUAG